AGGAGGAACAGCCCCAGUGGCGGGGCAGCUCUGGAAACCUGGAUUCAGCUCCGGCAGGAACUCCGUCUGCAGGGCCUGGAGGCUCCGGGGCGGC
Molecule: microRNA precursor, 94 nt
Filed under: Canis lupus familiaris (dog)
Lineage: Eukaryota; Metazoa; Chordata; Mammalia; Carnivora; Canidae
Description: mir-8834 microRNA precursor family
Rfam family: mir-8834 microRNA precursor family
Source: Rfam by way of RNAcentral